GGGAGCAAACAGGAUUAGAUACCCUGGUAGUCCACGCCGUAAACGAUGUCGACUUGGAGGCUGUGCCCUUGAGGCGUGGCUUCCGGAGCUAACGCGUUAAGUCGACCGCCUGGGGAGUACGGCCGCAAGGUUAAAACUCAAAUGAAUUGACGGGGGCCCGCACAAGCGGUGGAGCAUGUGGUUUAAUUCGAUGCAACGCGAAGAACCUUACCUGGUCUUGACAUCCACAGAACUUUCCAGAGAUGGAUUGGUGCCUUCGGGAACUGUGAGACAGGUGCUGCAUGGCUGUCGUCAGCUCGUGUUGUGAAAUGUUGGGUUAAGUCCCGCAACGAGCGCAACCCUUAUCCUUUGUUGCCAGCGGUCCGGCCGGGAACUCAAAGGAGACUGCCAGUGAUAAACUGGAGGAAGGUGGGGAUGACGUCAAGUCAUCAUGGCCCUUACGACCAGGGCUACACACGUGCUACAAUGGCGCAUACAAAGAGAAGCGACCUCGCGAGAGCAAGCGGACCUCAUAAAGUGCGUCGUAGUCCGGAUUGGAGUCUGCAACUCGACUCCAUGAAGUCGGAAUCGCUAGUAAUCGUGGAUCAGAAUGCCACGGUGAAUACGUUCCCGGGCCUUGUACACACCGCCCGUCACACCAUGGGAGUGGGUUGCAAAAGAAGUAGGUAGCUUAACCUUCGGGAGGGCGCUUACCACUUUGUGAUUCAUGACUGGGGUGAA
RNAcentral lists this ribosomal RNA (720 nucleotides) under uncultured organism. RNAcentral's name for it is "SSU rRNA". It matches the Rfam family "Bacterial small subunit ribosomal RNA", at positions 764 to 1484 of the family's 1533-position model. The record is from RNAcentral.